RNAcentral lists this long non-coding RNA (382 nucleotides) under Nicotiana tabacum (common tobacco). Its description in RNAcentral is "long non-coding RNA (NTAB_LNC006130)". Lineage: Eukaryota; Viridiplantae; Streptophyta; Magnoliopsida; Solanales; Solanaceae. The record is from RNAcentral.
AGGGUUGGAGCCCUAAGGCUGGCGGGAUGGAAAUAGUUCAAUUUAGGGUUGGAGCCCUAAUGCCGACUAGCUGGGGAGAAGUUCAGUUUAGAGUUGAAACUCUAAUGCUGACCAACUGGGGAAAAGUUCAGCUUAGGGUCGGGGCCCUAAUGCUGACUGAAGGAAAAGAGUUUAGUUUAGGGUUUAAAUCCUUAACGCUGACUGGAUAGAAAAGUUAAGUUUAUGGUUUAAAACCCUAAUGCUGAUUAAAGGAAAAAGUUCAGUUUAGGGUUUAAAACCCUAAUGCUGAUUAAAGGAAAAAGUUCAGUUUAGGGUUUAAAACCCUAAUGCUGAUUAAAGGAAAAAGUUCAGUUUAGGGUUUUAAAACCCUAAUGCUGAUUAA